GAUGAACGCUGGCGGCGUGCCUAAUACAUGCAAGUCGAGCGAACGGACGAGAAGCUUGCUUCUCUGAUGUUAGCGGCGGACGGGUGAGUAACACGUGGAUAACCUACCUAUAAGACUGGGAUAACUUCGGGAAACCGGAGCUAAUACCGGAUGAUAUUUUGAACCGCAUGGUUCAAAAGUGAAAGACGGUCUUGCUGUCACUUAUAGAUGGAUCCGCGCUGCAUUAGCUAGUUGGUAAGGUAACGGCUUACCAAGGCAACGAUGCAUAGCCGACCUGAGAGGGUGAUCGGCCACACUGGAACUGAGACACGGUCCAGACUCCUACGGGAGGCAGCAGUAGGGAAUCUUCCGCAAUGGGCGAAAGCCUGACGGAGCAACGCCGCGUGAGUGAUGAAGGUCUUCGGAUCGUAAAACUCUGUUAUUAGGGAAGAACAUAUGUGUAAGUAACUGUGCACAUCUUGACGGUACCUAAUCAGAAAGCCACGGCUAACUACGUGCCAGCAGCCGCGGUAAUACGUAGGUGGCAAGCGUUAUCCCGAAUUAUUGGGCGUAAAGCGCGCGUAGGCGGUUUUUUAAGUCUGAUGUGAAAGCCCACGGCUCAACCGUGGAGGGUCAUCGGAAACUGGAAAACUUGAGUGCAGAAGAGGAAAGUGGAAUUCCAUGUGUAGCGGUGAAAUGCGCAGAGAUAUGGAGGAACACCAGUGGCGAAGGCGACUUUCUGGUCUGUAACUGACGCUGAUGUGCGAAAGCGUGGGGAUCAAACAGGAUUAGAUACCCUGGUAGUCCACGCCGUAAACGAUGAGUGCUAAGUGUUAGGGGGUUUCCGCCCCUUAGUGCUGCAGCUAACGCAUUAAGCACUCCGCCUGGGGAGUACGACCGCAAGGUUGAAACUCAAAGGAAUUGACGGGGACCCGCACAAGCGGUGGAGCAUGUGGUUUAAUUCGAAGCAACGCGAAGAACCUUACCAAAUCUUGACAUCCUUUGACAACUCUAGAGAUAGAGCCUUCCCCUUCGGGGGACAAAGUGACAGGUGGUGCAUGGUUGUCGUCAGCUCGUGUCGUGAGAUGUUGGGUUAAGUCCCGCAACGAGCGCAACCCUUAAGCUUAGUUGCCAUCAUUAAGUUGGGCACUCUAAGUUGACUGCCGGUGACAAACCGGAGGAAGGUGGGGAUGACGUCAAAUCAUCAUGCCCCUUAUGAUUUGGGCUACACACGUGCUACAAUGGACAAUACAAAGGGCAGCGAAACCGCGAGGUCAAGCAAAUCCCAUAAAGUUGUUCUCAGUUCGGAUUGUAGUCUGCAACUCGACUACAUGAAGCUGGAAUCGCUAGUAAUCGUAGAUCAGCAUGCUACGGUGAAUACGUUCCCGGGUCU
RNAcentral lists this ribosomal RNA (1372 nucleotides) under uncultured bacterium. RNAcentral describes it as "bacterial SSU rRNA". It matches the Rfam family "Bacterial small subunit ribosomal RNA", at positions 28 to 1381 of the family's 1533-position model. The record is from RNAcentral.